AUUGAACGCUGGCGGCAUGCCUAACACAUGCAAGUCGAACGAACCUUCGGGUUAGUGGCGGACGGGUGAGUAACGCGUGAGAAUCUGCCCUCAGGAGGGGGAUAACGGCUGGAAACGGCCGCUAAUACCCCAUAUGCCGAGAGGUGAAAUGAAUUUCGCCUGAGGAUGAGCUCGCGUCUGAUUAGCUUGUUGGUGGGGUAAUGGCCUACCAAGGCGACGAUCAGUAGCUGGUCUGAGAGGAUGAUCAGCCACACUGGGACUGAGACACGGCCCAGACUCCUACGGGAGGCAGCAGUGGGGAAUUUUCCGCAAUGGGCGAAAGCCUGACGGAGCAACGCCGCGUGAGGGAUGAAGGCCUCUGGGCUGUAAACCUCUUUUAUCAAGGAAGAAGAUCUGACGGUACUUGAUGAAUAAGCCACGGCUAAUUCCGUG
RNAcentral lists this ribosomal RNA (432 nucleotides) under uncultured bacterium. Its description in RNAcentral is "bacterial SSU rRNA". It matches the Rfam family "Bacterial small subunit ribosomal RNA", at positions 30 to 507 of the family's 1533-position model. The record is from RNAcentral.